Molecule: long non-coding RNA, 1929 nt
Organism: Passer domesticus (house sparrow)
Lineage: Eukaryota; Metazoa; Chordata; Aves; Passeriformes; Passeridae
Exons: 3
Source: RefSeq, a predicted model, not a curated record
UCUGUGGAGUCCCCCUGAGCCUGUAGAGAGCCCAGGACAGGCUGUGCAGGUCAUGGAAUUGCAGGAUCAUCCAGGUGGACAGGCCUCUAGGAUCCCUGAAUUUGUCUGUUAACAGGCCAGUUUGCUCCCAGACUCUUUUCUUCCUCAUUCUUGAAAUCAUUUAGAUUGGAAAAGACCUUUCAGAUCACCAAAUCUAACGAUGCUCUAAAGAAACCUCUUUCAUCGGGAAAAUGCUGACUGGGAAAAGUUUGGAUCUACACCAGGAGAUGAGGUGACCUCUGUGCAGGUGGAUGUGUGGAGGAGAGGGAACCUGGGCUGACCAGGAGCUGUGUCCUGCUCCCAGCACAGCCUCACACUCCAGUUACAACCAGCGAGCACCUGGAAAGGGAGCCCGGACACAGAACACAGGAGCCCAGUGAGAGGCGAGCAGGAGUGACUGGGCACUUGGCAGGGAAUGAAAUGCAGUUUGCAGGGAAUGAAAUGCAGUUUGCCUCCACGCCAAGCCUUGAUGGCUUCAUUCUGCUUCUUCAGGCUCUCAAGCCCUGCUGCCUGGAGCCAGCUCCUUGCAGGGCUGGGAGGAAGGGAUGGAGGCAGGGAAGGAGGAGGCCUCCUGCAAGCCUCUCCAAAUAUUUAACUCCGUGGAAACUCUGCCUUUCAGAGGUCUCAGUUCUGCUGUGGGGUAUCCUGGCAAUGGAUGUUACCUGCCCUUGGUGCUCCCAGCCCUGCUGCAAAAUCACAGUGCUGCCUCCAGGACAAAUGUUCAUGGAAAUAAAAAAGCAUCCAGCAAGUGUUUCCAUCCAGACACCUUCCACAGAUAAGUCUCAUCCUCACCCCCUGACUCAGUGCAGGAGGAUCCAGUCCUGGCAAUAUUUUGGCAGCUCCAAGGACAGCACAGCCUGUCCAACACCUUCACCUCUCACCACAUCCAGCUCCAGACCUCUCCUGGCUCCUUCCCUUGAGGAUAUUGCCUUCUGGAAGAGGAGCUUGGAUCAUGGGCAGAGGCAGAGCAGAAACUGCCCAAUUUUGAGUUGGGCUGAGAGCAGCAAGUUACAACUGCUCCAGCAGCAGCCCCUGACCAGCUCCCACCCCACCCAUGGAAGGGAUCACAUUCCCACUUCCAGGCUCAGCUCAGAGGUAUCAGCCUCUUCUCAUUUUGGAGGGUUCUUGACUUUCUUUCUCUCUUGCUUUUUCUUUUUUUUUUUUUUCGUUUUUCCUUCAGCUUUUCUCUUCCUCCUUUUUUCUUUUUCUCUCUUUUCUUUUUCUUUCCCCCCCCUCCUGCCUCCCUAUGCAGCCUCUGUUCUUCAUCCAUUAUUUAGGCUUUUCUGACUGUAACAGCAACAUUCGCCUUGUAUACCUUGUGUGGGGUUUAAAAUAUAGAUAAAAGCAGAAGGUCAGACUUGAAACACAGAUUCUGACGGUUGCUGCUGACUUUGUCUGGAAGCUACAAAAUCUGGAGCUUUCUGUGCCCAGCAAUGGUUUCGGUACAAUUGGGUUUUUGGGGGUUUAGGGGUUUUUUUUGUCUGGUUGAUAUUCCUGCAAACUGUCUUGGUGUUUGAUGCUUUCAUCCAGCCUUUCAGUUUCUAAAUGUUCUGAGGCCUGGCUGGCUUCAGGACAGGGGAGCUGGAGCCAUGGAAUUCCUGCUUGGAGGUCCAGUCUUGACCCAGCACAGCAAAUACCUGCUGCUCUCCUGUCCAGGGCGAGCCGGGGAGGGGAGGAGGUGCCUCCAUCCACAUCCAGCAGGCUCUAAUUGGCACCUCUGGUCAGCAGAGCCGAGGACUUUCCCUUUCAAUUAUAAAUAAAUGCCCUGCUUCUUUUAUGUUGCUUUCUUCAGCCGUCAGAGAGAUUGGAUUUUGAGGACAAAUGUUUGUGGGAAAUAAAUUUCAAAGUCAAUGUGGGAAUAGUCCCAGAAAACAUGAAACACUUCAUUGU